Molecule: ribosomal RNA, 350 nt
Filed under: uncultured Macrococcus sp.
Lineage: Bacteria; Bacillati; Bacillota; Bacilli; Caryophanales; Staphylococcaceae
Description: bacterial SSU rRNA
Rfam family: Bacterial small subunit ribosomal RNA
Source: RNAcentral
GGUGGUGCAUGGUUGUCGUCAGCUCGUGUCGUGAGAUGUUGGGUUAAGUCCCGCAACGAGCGCAACCCUUAUCUUUAGUUGCCAUCAUUAGGUUGGGCACUCUAGAGAGACUGCCGGUGACAAACCGGAGGAAGGUGGGGAUGACGUCAAAUCAUCAUGCCCCUUAUGAUUUGGGCUACACACGUGCUACAAUGGAUGGUACAAAGGGCAGCAAAACCGCGAGGUCAAGCAAAUCCCAUAAAACCAUUCUCAGUUCGGAUUGUAGUCUGCAACUCGACUACAUGAAGCUGGAAUCGCUAGUAAUCGUAGAUCAGCAUGCUACGGUGAAUACGUUCCCGGGUCUUGUACAC